Echinops telfairi (small Madagascar hedgehog) is the source of this 105-nucleotide small nucleolar RNA. The record is from Ensembl. NCBI's taxonomy places the organism in Eukaryota, Metazoa, Chordata, Mammalia, Afrosoricida, Tenrecidae.
UGCAUGGCAUCUGCGCCCAGACAGUGCUAUAGAAAUUCAGUAUCUGACAUCGUGGUGUUUUUUGGCUUUGCGCAUGUGAAACCUGGUAUUUUUAUGGAUGCCGUU